This is a long non-coding RNA of Felis catus (domestic cat), 1354 nucleotides long. RefSeq lists it as uncharacterized. The transcript has 2 exons. Lineage: Eukaryota; Metazoa; Chordata; Mammalia; Carnivora; Felidae. The record is from RefSeq and is a predicted model, not a curated record.
CCCGGGUGCGGGCAGUCGGGGGGAGGGGGACUGCGGGGGAGUGGCUGUAUGCCCCCGGAUGGGAGGAGUUUUGGAGACUCAGUGUUUAUUUUUUUUUAAGUGAAAACUUUUUUUUAAUUUGCAUUCAAGCUUGGAACCUAGUCAUGACAUCCUGGGCCGCAGAAAAAAAUCAGGGCUGAACUCAGGUUACACGCAUUCUUCCCUACGCCAGGCACAGGGGGCUCUGGAUGCCUGCUUCUCCUGUGGCAGUGUCCUGUAUGCGAGGAGGCCAUCGAAAUCACUCUAAAGCAAUGAAAAUUUGCUUUUAAAUGCAUUCAAUCUGCUAUUUUAAAAAACAGCUUUAUUGGGAUGUGAUUCGCAUACCAUACAGACCGUCCAUUUAAGCAAUUCAGUAUUUUUAAGUGUAUUCACAGGGUUGUGCAACAUCACUCUGAUUUUAAAGCUAGUAGCCCAUGCUAGAGAAAUCUAGCUUUUUUCAUGAUUUCUUCUGUAAUGUUAGCGCAACAGAUGUAUAAAUAGGACUGAGCAAGAAAAAAUUUCCUGAGCAGCGAGAUAAUGUCUUCCUCCAGCCAGGACAUGCCCUGGAGAAUUCUGAGCAGGGAUCGCUAUCACCCAUCACCUGGUGUGGUCCGGGCAGGCCAGAAGGGAGGCUGCGCACUCCAGAUUCCACCCCACUGCUCCGGACCCCACUUUCCUCCGAAGGGAUCUGCGUCAGUAGACCCAUGAUCGCCUCUGGGACUUCUCCCCAGCCCCAAAUGUCAAGACCAUUUAAGCACAAACUUGUAGCUUCUGGAGUUAGGGAGAUCUCUGCUUUUGGAGCGAUUCCCAGUUUAAGGCACUGGAGACGGGAUGCUUGUCACAAAAAGAUCAUGAUCUUCAGUGUCCGUGUAGGUCACUGUCUCAAAAUGCUACUCCUACAACGACUUGCACUCCAUCCACGCCAGUGGACCUUCCCGUCCGCUCCACCUUAGCCACCAGGUCCUGUGUCCACACGGUCAUAUUCAGAAAUACGCCAGUUGGGAAAUCAGGGUCUGUUAUACUAUUCUUUUAAUAACCACUUGGUUCUCUGGUUUUAUCACUCACGCCUCAUAUAGCAUUGUCUCCCUCUUUUCUAUCAACCUGUCACUCCCUUGUUCUCACUUCUUUCCCAAUUCAGUUUAGAAAUCAUAACUCACUCCUUCAACCUCAUAAUCAUCCCUGCCUUCAAUUCCAUUCCCCAUGUAUUUCACUGAACAAGAUCUAUAUAACUGCACUAGUCCAGUCACCAGUUUACCAUCAUCCCAGAGAUGUACGUACGUGAUUACAAGAAGGCAUGCUUUGUACAACUCUAAAUAAACGUCCUCUUACCAAGUGA